RNAcentral lists this ribosomal RNA (253 nucleotides) under uncultured bacterium. RNAcentral describes it as "partial 16S ribosomal RNA". It matches the Rfam family "Bacterial small subunit ribosomal RNA", at positions 524 to 776 of the family's 1533-position model. The record is from RNAcentral.
UACGGAGGGUGCAAGCGUUAUCCGGAUGCACUGGGUUUAAAGGGUGCGUAGGCGGGUAAGUAAGUCCGUGGUGAAAUCUCUGAGCUUAACUCAGAAACUGCCGUGGAUACUAUUUGCCUUGAAUAUUGUGGAGGUGAGCGGAAUAUGUCAUGUAGCGGUGAAAUGCUUAGAUAUGACAUAGAACACCAAUUGCGAAGGCAGCUCACUACACAAUCAUUGACGCUGAGGCACGAAAGCGUGGGGAUCAAACAGG